GCCCUUAUAGCUCAGUGGUAGAGCGCAUCACUCGUAGUUCUGAGCUUAUGUUCUGCAAUGAUGAGGUCCGUUGUUCAAUCCAGCGUGGGGGCA
Neolentinus lepideus HHB14362 ss-1 is the source of this 93-nucleotide transfer RNA. It matches the Rfam family "tRNA". Rfam says of the family: Transfer RNA (tRNA) molecules are approximately 80 nucleotides in length. Their secondary structure includes four short double-helical elements and three loops (D, anti-codon, and T loops). Further hydrogen bonds mediate the characteristic L-shaped molecular structure. tRNAs have two regions of fundamental functional importance: the anti-codon, which is responsible for specific mRNA codon recognition, and the 3' end, to which the tRNAs corresponding amino acid is attached (by aminoacyl-tRNA synthetases). tRNAs cope with the degeneracy of the genetic code in two manners: having more than one tRNA (with a specific anti-codon) for a particular amino acid; and 'wobble' base-pairing, i.e. permitting non-standard base-pairing at the 3rd anti-codon position. Lineage: Eukaryota; Fungi; Basidiomycota; Agaricomycetes; Gloeophyllales; Gloeophyllaceae. The record is from Rfam.